RNAcentral lists this ribosomal RNA (617 nucleotides) under uncultured archaeon. Its description in RNAcentral is "partial 16S ribosomal RNA". The record is from RNAcentral.
GGCGUGACUCCAAUGAACGCAGGCUUCAUCCCUUGUGGUGCUCCCCCGCCAAUUCCUUUAGUUUCAUACUUGCGUACGUACUUCCCAGGCGGCAGACUUAACGGCUUCCCUGCGGCACUGCAUUGGCCACAAGCCUAUGCAUCACCGAGUCUGCAUCGUUUACAGCUGGGACUACCCGGGUAUCUAAUCCGGUUUGCUCCCCCAACUUUCAUCCCUCGCCGUCGAACGUGUUCUGGUACACCACCUUCGCCACAGGUGGUCUUCAAUAGAUCAAAGGAUUUUACCCCUUCCUAUCGAGUACCGUGUACCUCUCCCACUCCCUAGCUGCACAGUAUUUUCGGCGGCCUAUACGUUAAGCGCAUAGAUUUAACCGAAAACUUAUGCAACCGGCUACGGAUGCUUUAGGCCCAAUAAACCUCCUGACCACUCGAGGUGCUGGCUUUACCGCGGCGGCUGACACCAGAACUUGCCCACCCCUUAUUCACCAGUGAUUCUACAACUGACAAAAGACUCCUUUAGCAGGAGACACUCGGAUUAACCUUGUCGUGCUUUCGCACAUUGCAAAGGUUCUCGCCUGCUGCGCCCCAUAGGCCUGGGUCCGGUCUCAGUACCAUUUC